CUGGCUCAGGACGAACGCUGGCGGCGUGCCUAAUACAUGCAAGUCGAGCGGACUUGUAGGAGCUUGCUCCUGCAGGUUAGCGGCGGACGGGUGAGUAACACGUGGGCAACCUACCUAUAAGACUUGGGAUAACUUCGGGAAACCGGAGCUAAUACCGGAUGACAUAAAGGAACUCCUGUUCCUUUAUUGAAAGAUGGCUUCGGCUAUCACUUACAGAUGGGCCCGCGGCGCAUUAGCUAGUUGGUGAGGUAACGGCUCACCAAGGCGACGAUGCGUAGCCGACCUGAGAGGGUGAUCGGCCACACUGGGACUGAGACACGGCCCAGACUCCUACGGGAGGCAGCAGUAGGGAAUCUUCCGCAAUGGACGAAAGUCUGACGGAGCAACGCCGCGUGAACGAUGAAGGCCUUCGGGUCGUAAAGUUCUGUUGUUAGGGAAGAACAAGUGCUAGUUAAAUAAGCUGGCACCUUGACGGUACCUAACCAGAAAGCCACGGC
This 497-nucleotide ribosomal RNA is filed under the name Bacillus sp. YHTS-53. Its description in RNAcentral is "bacterial SSU rRNA". It matches the Rfam family "Bacterial small subunit ribosomal RNA", at positions 19 to 497 of the family's 1533-position model. The record is from RNAcentral. Lineage: Bacteria; Bacillati; Bacillota; Bacilli; Caryophanales; Bacillaceae.